AUUACGAUAGCGCAGUGGUUAGUGACUCUCAAUGCUGUGCUAAGGGUCCCGGGUUCGAUUCCCGGCCGAGGCAGAUA
This 77-nucleotide transfer RNA is filed under the name Plutella xylostella (diamondback moth). RNAcentral's name for it is "tRNA-Ser". The record is from RNAcentral. Lineage: Eukaryota; Metazoa; Arthropoda; Insecta; Lepidoptera; Plutellidae.